RNAcentral lists this ribosomal RNA (450 nucleotides) under uncultured bacterium. RNAcentral describes it as "bacterial SSU rRNA". It matches the Rfam family "Bacterial small subunit ribosomal RNA", at positions 328 to 794 of the family's 1533-position model. The record is from RNAcentral.
UGACCAGACUCCUACGGGAGGCAGCAGUGGGGGAUAUUGCACAAUGGGGGGAAACCCUGAUGCAGCGACGCCGCGUGAGUGAAGAAGUAUUUCGGUAUGUAAAGCUCUAUCAGCAGGGAAGAAAAUGACAGUACCUGACCAAGAAGCCCCGGCUAACUACGUGCCAGCAGCCGCGGUAAUACGUAGGGGGCAAGCGUUAUCCGGAUUUACUGGGUGUAAAGGGAGCGUAGACGGCGAUACAAGUCUGAAGUGAAAGCCCGGGGCUCAACCCCGGGACUGCUUUGGAAACUGUGUUGCUGGAGUGCUGGAGAGGCAAGCGGAAUUCCUAGUGUAGCGGUGAAAUGCGUAGAUAUUAGGAGGAACACCAGUGGCGAAGGCGGCUUACUGGACUGUAACUGACGUUGAGGCUCGAAAGCGUGGGGAGCAAACAGGAUUAGAUACCCUAGUAGC